This 118-nucleotide ribosomal RNA is filed under the name uncultured bacterium. RNAcentral's name for it is "partial 16S ribosomal RNA". It matches the Rfam family "Bacterial small subunit ribosomal RNA", at positions 1367 to 1482 of the family's 1533-position model. The record is from RNAcentral.
UACGGUUCCCGGGCCUUGUACACACCGCCCGUCACACCACGAAAGUCGGUAACACCCGAAGCCGGUGGCCCAACCCUUGUGGAGGGAGCCGUCGAAGGUGGGAUCGGCGAUUGGGGUG